Molecule: ribosomal RNA, 497 nt
Filed under: uncultured bacterium
Lineage: Bacteria
Description: partial 16S ribosomal RNA
Rfam family: Bacterial small subunit ribosomal RNA
Source: RNAcentral
GAUGAACGCUGGCGGCGUGCCUAAUACAUGCAAGUCGAGCGAACGGACGCGACGCUUGCUUCUCUGAUGUUAGCGGCGGACGGGUGAGUCACACGUGGAUAACCUACCUAUCAGACUGGUAUCACUUCGGGAAACCGUAGCUAAUCCCGUAUAAUCUUUUGCACCACAUGGUUCAAUAGUGAAAGACGGUCUUGCUGUCACUUCUCGCUGGAUCCGCGCUGCAUUAGCUAGUUGUUAAGGUAACGGCUUACCAAGGCAACGAUGCAUAGCCGACCUGAGAGGGUGAUCGGCCACACUGGAACUGAGACACGGUCCAGACUCCUACGGGAGGCAGCAGUAGGGAAUCUUCCGCAAUGGGCGAAAGCCUGACGGAGCAACGCCGCGUGAGUGAUGAAGGUCUUCGGAUCGUAAAACUCUGUUAUUAGGGAAGAACAUAUGUGUAAGUAACUGUGCACAUCUUGACGGUACCGAAUCAGAAAGCCACGGCUAACUACGUG